CCUACGGGUGGCAGCAGUGGGGAAUAUUGGACAAUGGGCGAAAGCCUGAUCCAGCCAUGCCGCGUGUGUGAAGAAGGCCUUCGGGUUGUAAAGCACUUUCAGUGGGGAAGAAAGCCUUGGGGCUAAUACCCUCGAGGAAGGACAUCACCCACAGAAGAAGCACCGGCUAACUCCGUGCCAGCAGCCGCGGUAAUACGGAGGGUGCGAGCGUUAAUCGGAAUUACUGGGCGUAAAGCGCGCGUAGGCGGUCUGAUAAGCCGGUUGUGAAAGCCCCGGGCUCAACCUGGGAACGGCAUCCGGAACUGUCAGGCUAGAGUGCAGGAGAGGAAGGUAGAAUUCCCGGUGUAGCGGUGAAAUGCGUAGAGAUCGGGAGGAAUACCAGUGGCGAAGGCGGCCUUCUGGGCUGACACUGACGCUGAGGUGCGAAAGCGUGGGUAGCAAACAGGAUUAGAUACCCGAGUAGUC
Molecule: ribosomal RNA, 465 nt
Filed under: Vreelandella stevensii
Lineage: Bacteria; Pseudomonadati; Pseudomonadota; Gammaproteobacteria; Oceanospirillales; Halomonadaceae
Description: partial 16S ribosomal RNA
Rfam family: Bacterial small subunit ribosomal RNA
Source: RNAcentral